AGACAGAGGGUGCAAACGUUGUUCGGAAUUACUGGGCGUAAAGCGCGUGUAGGUGGCUUCGCAAGUCGAAUGUGAAAACCCCAGGCUCACCCUGGGAAGAGCAUCCGAAACUGCGUCGCUAGAGUCCCGGAGAGGAAGGUGGAAUGCUUGGUGUAGGGGUGAAAUGCAUAGAUAUCGUCAAGAACACCGAUAGCGAAGGCAGCCUGCCAGUGGGGUACCGACGCUGAGGCACGAAAGUGCGGGGAUC
This 247-nucleotide ribosomal RNA is filed under the name uncultured bacterium. Its description in RNAcentral is "partial 16S ribosomal RNA". It matches the Rfam family "Bacterial small subunit ribosomal RNA", at positions 523 to 769 of the family's 1533-position model. The record is from RNAcentral.